AACCCUUCUUCACCAUUGAAUUGGUUGAAUGAUCUAUCCAAUGAUAAAGGGGGUGUGUGUGGACACAUAUCUUCCAAUUAUUAACACACACAAUUGGAACUUUGAAGCAAUCGAUUACUUAAACAGUAUUCAGUAGAAAGAAGCAUUUUUCUUUCCUGACUUGGGGUUGCUAUUAUUAACCUACACGCCAAUCUUAAUAAAGUUUAUUUCUUAACUAACACACACUUCCUCUUUUGUUCAUUGCUCUCUCCCCCUUGUAAGGCCAUAAUUUCAACCCAACAAACUCCUCUGUUGCACCAAUGGCUUUCAAUAAUAAUCAGCCCAGCAGCACGAUGAGGAAGGCGUUCCAGAUACAGGCUCAGAGUAGCUGCACAACGUGGGUUAUAAGUGACACUUGGCCUUUUGAUAGCGUGCGAUAUUUUGAGCAAUGUCAAUCAAUCCACCAUGUGUACGGUCAAGGAAGAAUUAAGUCUAGGAAAAUAUAAGGAGGUACUCAGUAAUCUUCUAUGCUCUGUCCUGAAGUUUAUAAAUCAACAUGUGAACAUGUCCAAGCUCAAUCCCCUGAUUGGAUUCUUCAUAUUCUUCUGGAUUAUAUUGACUGUUGCUGUGAUGCUUGUUGUGGGUGUGAAAUUCAAUCGCACCCAUGCUGUUUUAACCCUCAUCUGGUUUAUUCUGAUUCUCCAAGGACCAUUUGGUGUAAUCUUUGGGAUCAACCUUGUACUAGGAUUAUUAGUGACAUGGACGUCCCCCCCAAAAAAGCAACAAAUGGGGAGAAAAGCUGUAGCCAGAGAAAGAAUCCAGGAGUUACCUUGAGCUGUAUCUGCUAAAUAAAUGUGUCUUGUGUCUGCAUCUUUGUAAUUAUUCAUUUAUUUGUUACUUGUUAUGCAUCUGUGUCUUUGUAAUUAUUUGUUACUUGUUAUUGCCUAAAAAUUGAAUGCCAAACUUCAUUUUAUCUCUUCAAAAUAUACCGUGUUUUACACUUGAGAGAGAUUAAAAAAUUAGACUUCUUUAUUAAUCGAGAUAUUGCAAAAGAACUCUUAGCUUGUAAGUAUCUUUGAGAGCUUCUAAAUGUGAGGACCAUAGCUUUGUCCUAUAUAUUUUGUCAUGAUGCCUUAUAUUUUGUUCCAUAUCAAUGUAAAAUUUGUUAAUUAGAGAAUGGAAUUAAAAGAUACGUGGAGAAUGCUCUCAAGUAA
Arachis ipaensis is the source of this 1193-nucleotide non-coding RNA. NCBI's taxonomy places the organism in Eukaryota, Viridiplantae, Streptophyta, Magnoliopsida, Fabales, Fabaceae. The record is from RefSeq and is a predicted model, not a curated record.